Molecule: ribosomal RNA, 172 nt
Filed under: uncultured Thiothrix sp.
Lineage: Bacteria; Pseudomonadati; Pseudomonadota; Gammaproteobacteria; Thiotrichales; Thiotrichaceae
Description: partial 16S ribosomal RNA
Rfam family: Bacterial small subunit ribosomal RNA
Source: RNAcentral
ACUCCUACGGGAGGCAGCAGUCGGGAAUAUUGGACAAUGGGCGCAAGCCUGAUCCAGCAAUACCGCGUGUGUGAAGAAGGCCUGCGGGUUGUAAAGCACUUUCAGUUGGGAAGAUAAUGACGUUACCAACAGAAGAAGCACCGGCUAACUCCGUGCCAGCAGCCGCGGUAAU